RNAcentral lists this ribosomal RNA (591 nucleotides) under Morchella sp. Mes-5. RNAcentral's name for it is "eukaryotic LSU rRNA". It matches the Rfam family "Eukaryotic large subunit ribosomal RNA", at positions 51 to 654 of the family's 3401-position model. Lineage: Eukaryota; Fungi; Ascomycota; Pezizomycetes; Pezizales; Morchellaceae. The record is from RNAcentral. RNAcentral also lists the same sequence under 1 other name.
CGGAGGAAAAGAAACCAACAGGGAUUGCCUCAGUAACGGCGAGUGAAGCGGCAAAAGCUCAAAUUUUAAAGCUGGCACCUUCGGUGUCCGCGUUGUAAUUUUGUGAGGCAUCUCCGGGUAGGGCGCCGGCCUAAGUUCCUUGGAACAGGACGUCAUAGAGGGUGAGAAUCCCGUGCUUGGCUGGCUGUCCCCGUCCAUGUGAGGUGUCUUCGACGAGUCGAGUUGUUUGGGAAUGCAGCUCAAAAUGGGUGGUAAAUUUCAUCUAAAGCUAAAUAUUGGUGGGAGACCGAUAGCGCACAAGUAGAGUGAUCGAAAGAUGAAAAGCACUUUGAAAAUAGAGUUAAAAAGUACGUGAAAUUGUUGAAAGGGAAGCGCUUGAGACCAGACUUCGGUGGGGGGUGAUCAGCUGUCCUUCUGGGCGGUGCACUUGCUCCCCUCCGGGCCAGCAUCGGUUGGGGCGGCGGGAUAAAGAUCCCGGGAAUGUGGCUCCUUUCGGGGAGUGUUAUAGCCCGGGUGAAUGCCGCCAGCUCCGACCGAGGACCGCGCCUUCGGGCUAGGAUGCUUGGCAUAAUGGUCUUCAGCGACCCGUCU